AAAAAGACAAACCCUGGUUUCCGUGCCCAAUGUUUGACCGUCCGUCUUAUUUGAAAAAAUUAUGAAAAAAAUUAAAAAGACAAGUCACGCACAAAGUAUUAAUCAUGUUUUAUCAUCUAACAACAAUAAAAAUACGAAUUAUAAAAAAAUUUCAUAUAAGACGGACAGUCAAAGCCUUUUUUUGCCUUUUUU
This 192-nucleotide microRNA precursor is filed under the name Oryza rufipogon (brownbeard rice). RNAcentral's name for it is "MIR812 microRNA precursor family". It matches the Rfam family "MIR812 microRNA precursor family". Lineage: Eukaryota; Viridiplantae; Streptophyta; Magnoliopsida; Poales; Poaceae. The record is from Rfam by way of RNAcentral.